AUGGCGAUAGAACGAGUCGCCUUGGACGCCGAAUCGCAACGGAUUCUAGCAGAAACUUUCCGGUUAAGCCUGGAUCACACUGCAUCAAAUGUUGUUCUUCGCAAGAGGCACCAGAGUCGUUUACCUUUGGAGUACGAUGGAAGAAAUCUUUUCAAUACACCUGGGGCAGGACCAAGUAACCCGCCCGAGAUAACCCAGGAUGUUGAAGCACCUGCGGCAGGAGCGACGGCUCAACCCCAUGUUGCGGAUCCGCCUCGUUUGAAUCUGACCCCGCCUCAGCGAGUGCCAACACCACUGGGUCAUUUUUCUAACCUGCUGGAUAAUAUAAUUGACGCGUCAUCGCGGCUGGCGGCUCUUCAAGUGCAAGGUGAGUCUCCCGCGGCGAUUGAAGCCCGGAAGACUGUGGAGCUUCUUCAGACGGCGGUAGUGAUACGUCUCCAACAUAUCUAUAAUUUUUGA
RNAcentral lists this ribosomal RNA (459 nucleotides) under Triticum aestivum (bread wheat). Its description in RNAcentral is "partial small subunit ribosomal RNA". Lineage: Eukaryota; Viridiplantae; Streptophyta; Magnoliopsida; Poales; Poaceae. The record is from RNAcentral.